This 496-nucleotide ribosomal RNA is filed under the name uncultured bacterium. RNAcentral describes it as "partial 16S ribosomal RNA". It matches the Rfam family "Bacterial small subunit ribosomal RNA", at positions 28 to 506 of the family's 1533-position model. The record is from RNAcentral.
GAUGAACGCUGGCGGCGUGCCUAAUACAUGCAAGUCGAGCGAACAGAUGAGGAGCUUGCUCCUCUGACGUUAGCGGCGGACGGGUGAGUAACACGUGGAUAACCUACCUAUAAGACUGGGAUGACUUCGGGAAACCGGAGCUAAUACCGGAUAAUAUAUUGAACCGCAUGGUUCAAUAGUGAAAGACGGUUUUGCUGUCACUUAUAGAUGGAUCCGCGCCGCAUUAGCUAGUUGGUAAGGUAACGGCUUACCAAGGCAACGAUGCGUAGCCGACCUGAGAGGGUGAUCGGCCACACUGGAACUGAGACACGGUCCAGACUCCUACGGGAGGCAGCAGUAGGGAAUCUUCCGCAAUGGGCGAAAGCCUGACGGAGCAACGCCGCGUGAGUGAUGAAGGUCUUCGGAUCGUAAAACUCUGUUAUUAGGGAAGAACAAAUGUGUAAGUAACUAUGCACGUCUUGACGGUACCUAAUCAGAAAGCCACGGCUAACUACGU